CUUGGCUUCCCUCUCACAGUGGAGGUGCCUCAGUGCUCCCAGUUUCUCACACAUCACACCCACCUCCCCCAAAGCUGAAGGAGUUUUAGCCAGGGAGCAAAGUGUGAUGGAGGAGCGGAGCUGGGGCCGCUCAGGACCAGCGGAUGGGUGGAGGUGCAGGAUGUGCUGCUGGGCCCCGGGGCGAGGCUGAGGAAUGCCCCAAUUACAGCACAAUUAUGAGAACUGGAAGCUCUCCACUGCCCUCAGCCAAAGAAACACGCGUGGGGAUGAGGCACAGGACAGUGUUCCCAAGGGAAAGAACAAUCCUGGCCGAUACCGGCCUGGCUCCUUAACGGGUAUAAAUGGGUGUCCUCUGCUGCUCUGCGCCAGAUCCUAGCUGGGGGUGUUCUUUCACUGCGCUCAGCCUAAUCCUCCGAAAAACCCUGCUAAGUCCUGUGCCUCACUGAUAUCCUUUGGCAAUGCGUUUUGCAAGUAAAGCACUCGCC
This 485-nucleotide long non-coding RNA is filed under the name Gallus gallus (chicken). Its description in RNAcentral is "long non-coding RNA NONGGAT005367". The record is from RNAcentral. Lineage: Eukaryota; Metazoa; Chordata; Aves; Galliformes; Phasianidae.